UAGGGAAUCUUCCACAAUGGGCGAAAGCCUGAUGGAGCAACGCCGCGUGUGUGAUGGAGGGUUUCGGCUCGUAAAACACUGUUGUAAGAGAAGAAUGGCAUUGAGAGUAACUGUUCAAUGUGUGACGGUAUCUUACCAGAAAGGAACGGCUAAAUACGUGCCAG
Molecule: ribosomal RNA, 164 nt
Filed under: uncultured bacterium
Lineage: Bacteria
Description: partial 16S rRNA
Rfam family: Bacterial small subunit ribosomal RNA
Source: RNAcentral